UUAACUCCCUGUUCUUUUUUGACUUCUUUUUUCUCCAAUAACCUUGGGGGCGUGCUCGUUUACGAAAGAAAAGUCAAAAACGAACAGAAAGCCUCCCACUGGGAGGUUUUUUU
Molecule: non-coding RNA, 113 nt
Filed under: Vibrio fluvialis
Lineage: Bacteria; Pseudomonadati; Pseudomonadota; Gammaproteobacteria; Vibrionales; Vibrionaceae
Description: Phenylalanine leader peptide
Rfam family: Phenylalanine leader peptide
Source: RNAcentral